This 919-nucleotide ribosomal RNA is filed under the name uncultured archaeon. Its description in RNAcentral is "bacterial SSU rRNA". It matches the Rfam family "Archaeal small subunit ribosomal RNA", at positions 1 to 922 of the family's 1478-position model. The record is from RNAcentral.
UUCCGGUUGAUCCUGCCGGAGGCCAUUGCUAUCGGAGUCCGAUUUAGCCAUGCUAGUCGCACGAGUUCACACUCGUGGCAGAUAGCUCAGUAACACGUGGCCAACCUACCCUGUAGACCAGUAUAACCUCGGGAAACUGAGGCUAAUGCUGGAUACGACUCUCAGACUGGAGUGUCGAGAGCCAGAAAUGCGCCAGCGCUACAGGAUGCGGCUGCGGCCGAUUAGGUAGACGGUGGGGUAACGGCCCACCGUGCCGAUAAUCGGUACGGGUUGUGAGAGCAAGAGCCCGGAGACGGAAUCUGAGACAAGAUUCCGGGCCCUACGGGGCGCAGCAGGCGCGAAAACUUUACACUGCACGACAGUGCGAUAAGGGGACUCCGAGUGCGAGGGCAUAUAGUCCUCGCUUUUCUGAACCGUAAGGUGGUUCAGGAAUAAGGACUGGGCAAGACCGGUGCCAGCCGCCGCGGUAAUACCGGCAGUCCAAGUGAUGGCCGCUAUUAUUGGGCCUAAAGCGUCCGUAGCCAGCCAGACAGGUCCGUCGGGAAAUCCACGUGCUUAACGCGUGGGCGUCCGGCGGAAACCAGUUGGCUUGGGGCCGGAAGACCUGAGGGGUACGUCCGGGGUAGGAGUGAAAUCCUGUAAUCCUGGACGGACCACCGGUGGCGAAAGCGCCUCAGGAAGACGGACCCGACGGUGAGGGACGAAAGCUAGGGUCACGAACCGGAUUAGAUACCCGGGUAGUCCUAGCUGUAAACGAUGCUCGCUAAGUAUGGCGCACACUACGAGUGUGCGCUGUGCUGUAGUGAAGACGAGAAGCGAGCCGCCUGGGAAGUACGUCCGCAAGGAUGAAACUUAAAGGAAUUGGCGGGGGAGCACUACAACCGGAGGAGCCUGCGGUUUAAUUGGAUUCAACGCCGGA